CCUACGGGUGGCAGCAGUGGGGAAUAUUGCACAAUGGGGGAAACCCUGAUGCAGCGACGCCGCGUGAGUGAAGAAGUAUUUCGGUAUGUAAAGCUCUAUCAGCAGGGAAGAAAAUGACGGUACCUGAUUAAGAAGCCACGGCUAACUACGUGCCAGCAGGCGCGGUAAUACGUAGGGGGCCAGGGUUAUCCGGAUUUACUGGGAGUAAAGGGAGCGUAGACGGCAGGACAAGUCUGGAGUGAAAUGUCGGGGCUUAACCCCGGAACUGCAUUUGAAACUGUGCAGCUAGAGUGCAGGAGAGGUAGGUGGAAUUCGUGGUGUAGCGGUGAAAUGCGUAGAUAUCACGAAGAACUCCAGUGGCGAAGGCAGCUUACUGAACUGUAACUGACGUUGAGGCUCGAAAGCGUGGGUAUCAAACAGGAUUAGAUACCCCUGUAGUC
RNAcentral lists this ribosomal RNA (440 nucleotides) under uncultured bacterium. RNAcentral describes it as "partial 16S ribosomal RNA". It matches the Rfam family "Bacterial small subunit ribosomal RNA", at positions 338 to 795 of the family's 1533-position model. The record is from RNAcentral.